CACUCCUGCGGGAGGCAGCAGUGGGGAAUUUUGGACAAUGGGCGAAAGCCUGAUCCAGCAAUGCCGCGUGUGUGAAGAAGGCCUUCGGGUUGUAAAGCACUUUUGUCCGGAAAGAAAUCCUUGGCUCUAAUACAGUCGGGGGAUGACGGUACCGGAAGAAUAAGCACCGGCUAACUACGUGCCAGCAGCCGCGGUAAUACGUAGGGUGCGAGCGUUAAUCGGAAUUACUGGGCGUAAAGCGUGCGCAGGCGGUUUGCUAAGACCGAUGUGAAAUCCCCGGGCUCAACCUGGGAACUGCAUUGGUGACUGGCAGGCUAGAGUAUGGCAGAGGGGGGUAGAAUUCCACGUGUAGCAGUGAAAUGCGUAGAGAUGUGGAGGAAUACCGAUGGCGAAGGCAGCCCCCUGGGCCAAUACUGACGCUCAUGCACGAAAGCGUGGGGAGCAAACAGGAUUAGAUACCCGGGUAGUCC
This 470-nucleotide ribosomal RNA is filed under the name uncultured organism. Its description in RNAcentral is "partial 16S ribosomal RNA". It matches the Rfam family "Bacterial small subunit ribosomal RNA", at positions 334 to 796 of the family's 1533-position model. The record is from RNAcentral.